CACCUGAGGAGGAGGAGGAGGAGGAGGAGGAAAAUAAGGGUGGUGAUGAAGGACAGAGGAAGGCAUUCUACUGCUGUCUCCCUUUCCUGCCCAACUCUGAAUCGCCCAAUCAAAGCCGCUGUCUCCUUUGGUUCGCCAAUCAAACGGUUUGGAAUUCAACAGCAAAGGAAAAGCUGCCAUGGAAACGGACACAGAAAGGGAAGCCGAAGGUGCACCCUGAUGGCUUCAACUUAAUUACUCAGCAAUUAAAUGGUUUGGAGAUUCUAACAAACUCUUUUUGGUUCAGCAGGGACAAACCUCCACUUAUACGGGUUUCAUACCUGGUCAGGGCUCUCACCAAUUAAAGAAGUUGACAGUCAAAGUUUUCUGCAUCAUCGCAGCCAUCCCUCCGUCAGCUCCAUCAAAGAUGAGCCUGCUCGAUGACAGGCGAGCAGCCGGAGGAAGCUGGAGGAAAACAGCCGCCUCAUUUACCAGCAUUACUAAUGGUGAAAAUAAAGAUAUCUGAAC
Long non-coding RNA from Astatotilapia calliptera (eastern happy), 507 nucleotides. Lineage: Eukaryota; Metazoa; Chordata; Actinopteri; Cichliformes; Cichlidae. The record is from Ensembl.